Molecule: non-coding RNA, 29 nt
Filed under: Mus musculus (house mouse)
Lineage: Eukaryota; Metazoa; Chordata; Mammalia; Rodentia; Muridae
Source: RNAcentral
UACAGAGGGCUUUGGUUUGCUUUCAUGGU